GGCACACUGUCAACUGGGCUGGACUUCCUGAGUUUCAGUUUCCUGAGUCUCAGAGGCUGAGAUACUGAAGAAUUUUCCCCUCACAUUUUGUGCCUGCUUAGCUACCUAGACAGAGCAGCUAUCCAUGGCUCCAAUCCUUGAAUGGAUUCUUCCAAGAGGCUUCAUUGAGAAAUCCUGGGCCAGUGUCUCUCUAAGGACCUUGAGAUCUGCCUGUAUACAGGAGACAGAUCUUGAAGGCUGUGUAGAGGAGACUGAGCCUUCAACUGACCAAUCUGAGUUACAACUAGCCCUUGGGAACAAAUUGAGUUCCUACAGGCAGUCCAUAGAACACUUGGAAUUUGCUUUUUCUGACAUUUUUGUAGUCAGCAAUUAUGUCUCAGAGCGGGCACCGGAUCCUGAAAAAGACAUUCUGACUCUCUCUGCUGCGAGACAGACACUGUGGGCUGCAGAUGACUUUGAAGAGGGCUCCGCCACUCAAUACCAGCCUGAAGAAUAAUUGAAUUAUCAAGUGUGCAAAAGAAGAAAAUAAAUAUGUGAACUCUCAACAUAUUAAUUUUUGUCUCACCAUAGAACAAUGAAACAGAGAAAGGAGAAAACACUGGAAGAGAAUUGGCUAAGAUUACAGGGAUAUAUUUUAUUUAUGUCAAGGAUGAAGAUGCAUAUACAAAAGCACACUAUUUCUAACACCCAGGAACAACAUGAUUUGCAUAGAUCCUUACAUGAAAUUUCAGGAAGAAAUGGACCUCAUUUAUUGGACUACUGCAAAGAUGAAUUGGCCACAGAAGACAGUAAAUCUCAUUUUGGAAAAGUUAUCCUUACUAUUGAAGGCUUCUAUCAAUAUCUAUAAAACAAGAAAGUAAUUUUGAAUAAAGAAGGAAUAAAAUAGUGGAAAAAUAAUAUAAAAACACUUGUAUAUUCAUGUUAAAAAUACUCUGCAGAGAGAAUUCCAACUCCUUACAUAUUGAUGUAGAUCUCGGUGGUCUUCAGUGUUUUAGUGUUUCUGUUUCUGUGUAUCAAGUAUUCUUGAAAUUGCUUUAAUAAGAAUUAUAUUACCCCAGGGAUAGGUAGAAAUUAUAUAUUGACAAGUUCAGCAUGGGAAAUGUUCCUUCCACUAAUUUUAGAAUCUAUAGAGGAAUUACCCAUUGGUCAAUUUUCUUAGAGAAGGAUACAGAAUUCAAAAUAAGCGAGAAUUUUCUCAGGAGACUUGAAGCAGACCAGUUACAUGUUGUUGGUAAUGAGGAAACAGAAUUGCUGAGAUGUAAUAAGCUCAGAGUUUGAGGGUGAUGGGGACAGAGGAGGCACAUGACUAGCUGUGUGUUAAAGAUAAAGGCCUUCUGGAGAAGAUGGCUUCCUUGUCUAAGGUUAUCCACAGAUACUCAGUCUUAUCUGUCAUGACUAUACACAUCCUGAAUGUGACAAAAAUAAACAAAGCAAACAAACAAAGCAGUCACUAAGCAAGUUCUCAUUGACUGAGCAUCAUGUUCUGUGCUCUAAUGCAAUCUUGCUCCAUGCCUCAACACAGCAAACUCAGCAUCUUCUUAUGAGCUUAUCAAGGUUCAAGCAAUCACUAUUGCACAACACCAGAAAAAACUGGAACACUGUUGUAUGCUUUAUAGCCUGAGGUUAUUUCAUAAUGUUAAUGGGUAAGUCUAUAACUUUUUUGUGGGCCAACUAACUGUUGUAUCAAGCUUUUUGUCUUUUACUGGUUUAGGUAGUAGUCCAUCCGGAAUUGACUUUUGUUUAUAGUGUGAAGAAGGAAUUCAGGAAAGAUGUGAGGUAUUUAGAUAUCAUUUUCAUUUGACUAAUUUUGAAGAGUAAUAAACAUUCUAGGAUAGGAUUAUACUGUAGUUCAAUUUUCAUAUAUGAUUUAAAAAUAAGAAGCAACAUCACGAAGAAGUUAUUUUUAUCCUAAAAUUUACAUAGUAGUGUAAAGGAUUAAAGCUAACCAAGACAUUCUUGAAGAACAAUAAAGUAGAAAAAUAGACAUGUAUCAGAGACCCCUGCAGCAGAUCCCAUCUUCUGCUUGGUGUUACAAUGCAUGAUGAGAAGACUUAGAGACAGAAUUAGAGAAACAGAGACAGGGAACUGGGAUGAUCAGCUCUUGUGCAAGCAAAGGCUUGAGAAAGCCAUAGCCCUGGCCAGCCAAAACAAUCAAUAUUUAUUGGUGACACAAUCAUUGGUUAAAUUGGGGUGAGGGGACUAUGUGUGGUUGCUAUAGAUGUGUUGCUGAGGCAGGCAAGGCUUGUAAAAGAAGAGACAAAGCAUUCUUGUGUUAGUUUGGGAAUGGUAUUUGGGUAAGAGUCACUUUGACCUCACUGUGUGUUAUCUCAUAGGCUUUGGUCAGACUUACUUCUUCAACUAAGCCAAUUGUGGGGUUAAUUCUUUACAGCCUGCAUUGUUUGCAGCAUUCUUUGUGCAGAAUCAAUGGGGCGGUUUGCCACAGGUGUGGAAAGAUAUAUGAAUGAAGAGAAUGUUAAUUGGUUUGUACUAAUAAAUCAGUGGAAAUGAACAGACUCAGGCACAUUUGGACAUUUGCUAUAUGAUAAGGAUAGUGUUGCAGAUGAGUAGAAAACAGUAAACUAUUCAUAGGUGGUGCUAAGUCUAUUGAUCACUCUCAUGGAAAAAUGAACUGAAUCCCUUCCUCACACCAUAAAUGAAACUGAAAGUGUAAAUGAGAAUCAGAGUGUAUAAUAGAUAAUAUGAAAUAGGAAGAAAAGGUCCAAAGGGGAAAGGAAGAGGGAGGGGUAGAGGAAAAGAAAGAUAGGAAAGGAAUAAAUAUGAGAAAAGGAAAAACCAGAAACAAAUUCUUUGUAAAUAGAAAGGGAUGGAAUGGUUGAAGGGAGGGCAGGGGAAUGGGGAAAAAAUAAGAAGCAAGAUAUAUCAUGUAAAUGUACAAAUUCCCAGUGAUGAAUGUCAUCACAUUGUACACCUAAAAUGUAUCAAUAAAAUUAAUGAAUAAAAAAGUGAAUUUCAGGUGGACUACUAUCUAAAUGCUAUAAGGUUUUUAGGAGAUAAAAUAGAAUGACACCUUUAUAACUUGGGGAAAAGAAAAUUUUAUUACAUCAUUUUUUAAAGUAAGACACAAAAACUUAACUAUGAAAGACUAAAAACAACUACAUAGAUUCCUAAAAGUCCCGAAGAAAAUUAAGUUAGAAAAAGGGACAAAAAUUUUGAACAAUCACUUUGUAAAAGAGAAAAUUCAAAUCUGCAUUAAUGGAUAAAAGAUACUUUAUUCAUUAGUAAUAAAAUAAACAAAUUAAAGCAGUUUUGUUUUUUACAUUUUUGUGAUUUGAUUUAAUUAACAUACCAUAAGCUGCAUGUACUCAAAGUAUCAGAUUUGAUGGCUUUUGAUGUAUGACUACUGUGAAAGUAUCGUGCCAGUUAAGGAUACAAACAUUUCUGUCUUCCCUCAAAUGCUAAUGGUGCUCUUGUAAUCCAUUCUUUCCAUUUCUCUUGCUCUUUCAGUCCUUAAGCAACAACUUACAAGUUGUGUGUUGUCACUCUAAGUUGUUGGGUUUUAAAAAAUUUUAAAUGUAAGUGGG
Long non-coding RNA from Heterocephalus glaber (naked mole-rat), 3542 nucleotides. The record is from Ensembl. NCBI's taxonomy places the organism in Eukaryota, Metazoa, Chordata, Mammalia, Rodentia, Bathyergidae.